AAUCGCUGCUUGCUUUCUCAUGGGAAGAAAGUGUGUGAACAGCUCGGAAAGGCAGCAGAGCCUUUGCAUCUGUGUCAGGGCAAACGAAAGCUGGCAGUCAGGUGGUUCCCCGUCUCACAAAAGGAACGACUUGAGUAAGUAUGUAAGCAAAUAGAACAUGGAUCUACAUCUGCUGGUGUCCAAAUACACCCCCUCUGAAAUCAGCUCUCUGGCAGUCAGGCAAAAUCCAAAACAGAAGACAGCAUCAGGCAAGAACAAACAAUUUGCUUUGGAAACAGUGACCCUGAGUUGCCCGAACAUUUUUGUAUUUUUCUUUUCUGGAGAUCAGUCAGGUUGAGAAAAAGGCAAGAGUAGGGGCCUGAAUGUCCAUCUCCUGGUGAGCCACCAUACUGAUGAGCCGUGUACUGCAACCCAGAAGCUCACUUUCUCUGCAGCCUAAAUGUAAGACACUUCACUGAAUGUUGGAGCUCAGUCUAUAUUACCUUUCUGACAGAUGCCAAAAAAGGCAAGAGAAAAAUCCCUAACACACGUACUUGUUCAUCUUCCCUGUCCUUCCCUCCCUCAGUACUUGUGUAUAUGCAUAAAUGCUAAAUCCAAAAAUUGCUUAUGGAAAUCCCAUCACCAAAGGAACUUAGAAAAGAAUA
This is a long non-coding RNA of Serinus canaria (Common canary), 644 nucleotides long. RefSeq lists it as uncharacterized. NCBI's taxonomy places the organism in Eukaryota, Metazoa, Chordata, Aves, Passeriformes, Fringillidae. The record is from RefSeq and is a predicted model, not a curated record. The transcript is spliced from 4 exons.